UACAGAGGGUGCAAGCGUUGUCCGGAAUUAUUGGGCGUAAAGAGCUCGUAGGUGGCUUGUCGCGUCUGCCGUGAAAGCCCGUGGCUUAACUACGGGUCUGCGGUGGAUACGGGCAGGCUAGAGGCUGGUAGGGGCAAGCGGAAUUCCUGGUGUAGCGGUGAAAUGCGCAGAUAUCAGGAGGAACACCGGUGGCGAAGGCGGGUCUCUGGGCCGAUACUGACGCUGAGGAGCGAAAGCGUGGGGAGCGAACAGG
RNAcentral lists this ribosomal RNA (253 nucleotides) under uncultured bacterium. RNAcentral describes it as "partial 16S ribosomal RNA". It matches the Rfam family "Bacterial small subunit ribosomal RNA", at positions 524 to 776 of the family's 1533-position model. The record is from RNAcentral.